This 850-nucleotide ribosomal RNA is filed under the name uncultured bacterium. Its description in RNAcentral is "bacterial SSU rRNA". It matches the Rfam family "Bacterial small subunit ribosomal RNA", at positions 55 to 902 of the family's 1533-position model. The record is from RNAcentral.
CCGCAGUCGAGGGGCAGCGCAGUGUAGCAAUACAUGGGCGGCGACCGGCAAACGGGUGCGGAACACGUACGCAACCUUCCCAGAACUGGUGAAUAGCCUUUCGAAAGAGAGAUUAAUACACCGUAACUUAAUGGAGUGGCAUCACUUUAUUAAUAUAGUUCCGACGGUUCUGGAUGGGCGUGCGGCUGAUUAGGUAGUUGGCGGGGUAAUGGCCCACCAAGCCUACGAUCAGUAACUGGUGUGAGAGCACGACCAGUCACACGGGCACUGAGACACGGGCCCGACUCCUACGGGAGGCAGCAGUAAGGAAUAUUGGUCAAUGGACGCAAGUCUGAACCAGCCAUGCCGCGUGGAGGAUGAAGGUCCUCUGGAUUGUAAACUUCUUUUAUCGGAGAAGAAACCCCGACAUUCUUGUUGGGUUGACGGUACCCGAUGAAUAAGCACCGGCUAACUCCGUGCCAGCAGCCGCGGUAAUACGGAGGGUGCAAGCGUUAUCCGGAUUCACUGGGUUUAAAGGGUGCGUAGGUGGGCUGGUAAGUCAGUGGUGAAAUCUCCGGGCUUAACUCGGAAACUGCCGUUGAUACUAUCAGUCUUGAAUGUUGUGGAGGUAAGCGGAAUAUGUCAUGUAGCGGUGAAAUGCUUAGAUAUGACAUAGAACACCGAUAGCGAAGGCAGCUUGCUACACAAUAAUUGACACUGAGGCACGAAAGCGUGGGGAUCAAACAGGAUUAGAUACCCUGGUAGUCCACGCCCUAAACGAUGGAUACUCGACAUACGCGAUACACAGUGUGUGUCUGAGCGAAAGCAUUAAGUAUCCCACCUGGGAAGUACGACCGCAAGGUUGAAACUC